GCCACCAAUAGUUGCGAAACGGACCAAAUUUUCAGCACACUGACAUUUUUGAAGUUAUUGAAAUCAAGUUUUGACCAUACCAAUGUGAAGUACUCAUUGAGACGAGUCCAACCUAACAAAUCGUGUCAAAAUUAGAGUUCAAACGAAGUGUACAAGCUCGUCGAAGUUUGUUGAGCAAUGCCAUUAUUCCGCCAGAGAAGACGACUAGAGUUGGCCAACCUAAGAAAUUAUUGUGUGCAUUGCGGCAAGGUUACAUCCAGUAGGUUUCACACCAAGGCCAUGCAUGAACCACAAUCAAGUUCAAAUAAAUAACUUGCCGAAUACAAACACAAGGAUCUGUUGUGGCAAAGUGGUUAAGUUUUAUUCUUUCAUCCAAAGAGCACAAGUUCAAAUCUUGCCAGCAACAAGUUCAAGCCGAGCUGCCAAGUCGUCCAACGCAACAUAUGUCAGAGAAAUUAUCCAGUGCUUCGUGGAGCCCAAUUCUCCACCGAUCGGAUCCAUCGAAUCAAUUUUGGCUAAAAUUACGCCAUCAGGAGUCCGAUUCCAACGAUCCAAUAGUCUUCUGAACACAUUUGUACGGUCUGAUUUCUCAAAUUCCAUACAAAAAAUUUGCAAAUUUUAUAUGCAAGGCCACAUAUCGUAACUAAAACAACAUUUUUGCGCCGCGCCUGGAGUUUGCUCAAUGCCAAAUUCAACCACUACAACUUAUUGGCAACUUUCUGCUUAUAUCAUCGUCGUCACCAACGCCGCACCUGCCCCGAAACAUGGCACACCGAUCCUCGGGGCAAGGUAUCCGCCUCAACAAUUUGUUCUCAGCUUACUCCUCGGCAAGUCCACGUUGGACAAAAUACAAAACAACAAACACAAAAUAGCAACUUAACUAAUCUGCUUCCAAUAUUGGUGUCCGUUUUUUUGCUUCCCACUUAUUGUGAUCACCAAGUUUACAAAUCCAUGACACAGUAUGCACUAUUCCAUAUCCUUGCAAUGUCUGACAUUGAGACAAAAGGCUCCAAAUUCGAAGCACGAAAACCUCCGAAUUCGGAGCAAAACCCUAGUUUUCUAUUCAUAUAUACAUAUAUACAUACAUUCAUGCAUACAUGCAUUCAUAUAGUCAUUCAUGCAUUCAUUUUAUUCAUUUAUCAAAUACAUUCUUUAUUGAGAGACCUAACGUUUAUUUGAAUAGUAUAACUCGGCAAUAAAAACUCUCAUCAUUCCUUCUAUUGCAGAAAAUGAAAGUUUUGGGGCAAUUGUGGUGGCCCAAAAAAUAUUACCUUACUAACAAUGGGCCCAACCCAAACAAGGGAGCCCAUCAAGUAAAUAUCACACCCCUAUUUAUAAAAAGAAGGCAUCCCAUGGAAUGAAGGUAUGACUCAUAUCUCUACAUCACACAGCACACACACUCUCUUGAGUUCUUCAUCUUCUCUAUUUGUUUCAAGUCGCUAACUUUAUCAUUAGAGUGUCUUCCGUCGGCAACCCCAGUUGGGUGGCGUCGACAAUGUUCAUCCUUGCAAAUCUAUAGGGGUCAAGCUCUUCUUUGCGUUGGAUCUCUUCAACAAUCCAUGUGAGAGGAUUUUCUGGGUCUCACACUAGGUAUGUGGGCAAACUUUUGCAACGAUGUGUUAAUUGGUAAAUUAUAAAUGUUGAUGCUUAGAAAUUGAAAAACUAUCCAAUGAAUAUAUGGCAUGUCAUAUUUUAAAUUUAGAAAGAAGUACACAAAUAAAAAAAAUUUGAUUGAAGGAAACAGAAUAGGCAUAACUUUAGAUUUUCCUUUUUUGUCUUUUGAUUGGCUUUUUUAAAUUUAACCACUUUGAGCUUUUUGUUAUUGUGAAAUAUAUAAAUUAGAUAUAAGGGGAAGGAAACACUUGGGGAGUGUCUUGUGUAGAGAGAAUGUCCACUUUCUCUUAGAAAUUAGGAUUGGAAGUUUGAAAGUCAUUGAUAACCUAAUGCAUUACUACACUACAUAAAUAAUAUUGUGGAUGUGUAUGCUAUUUAUAUAUAUAUUUUCUUUUGGGUAAAGACAUAAGCUAUUUAUAUGUUUGCUCUUGUGCAUGUAUUUCUCUCUCUUGACUUUGUUCUCCAUCACUCUUCUUUAUCCUCUUUCCAUCCUCUUUGUUCCUAAUGAAUCAAAUGAUCAAAAGUUGGUUAAUAAAGCCCCUGCACACCUAGUUAUAGACAACCAACUCAUCUACUAACACAAACACAUGACAACCACUUACAUCAACACUCAUGCCCUUGAAAGUGAUUUUUCCAACAGAAGCAAACGCAACAAAAACUAGUCAAACACAUAAGGAGCCAAGUGUUAGACAUUGAAGGCAUCAGAGAUGUUCAGGUGAGGGGGCAAACACACUUGAUAGGCAUUGUCAUUUCUUGCUCAAAAUCUCACAAUGACCCACUUUCCGAUCCGUCAACUUCAUAUAAGAACCGCGGGGCUUCCUGUCCUUUGUCAAAACUACCGAAACAAGAUCACCCACUUUGAAGACAACCUUUCACUGGUGUAAGACAGUUGCGACUUUGUACUUAGCAUUGGAUUGUUUGAUUUGGGCCCUCACUUGAGCAUGCACUUGUAGCAUAAACGCAGUCAUAUCCUCUGCUUUGACAUUGACCCUCUUGAGAUAGGCAAAUGAGCUAGAUCCACCACACUAAAACGUUUGGCACUUAGUUGCAUGAAGCGGGAGCGUGGCCACUUAGAAGAGUCGUAGGGCAAGAGCUCGCAAAAGAGGAGAUCGAAAGACAAAUCGAGAUUGCCUUGCUCUCUCAUCAGAGGCGCAAUUCUUCUCUAAUUCUUCCUUAGAAGAGCAAAAUUGCGCUUCUUCCUCAGAUUCGUGAUGAGCUUCGACGAUUCCUGUUACUAAGCACCACAAAUCACUUCAAAAGGAGACAUGUUAUAGAAGAAUUAUAAGCAAAUUCAGCCAAAGUCCCAACCCUUAGGGUGAUCUCCAAUAAGAAAUCUCAUUAAGUUCCCAAUAAUCCAGUUGACCACUUGCGUUUGGCCAUCAGUUUGUGGAUAGAAGUUAGUGCUAAAGUGCAAAUUGGUACCAAUCUUCUUACAUAAAGUCCUCCAAAAAUGACCAAGGAAUUUGGUAUCACUAUCCGACACAAUAGAAAUAGAAACCCCAUGAAGAUUGUAGACUUCCUUGAAGAAGAGAUUAGCCACAUUAGUAGCAUCCAUAGUCUUCCGAUAAGGGAUAAGAUGUGCCAUCUUAGAGAAGCGAUCAACUAUAAUAGAAUCACGCUUGUGUAGGUGUCAAUCGUAACACAAAGUUCAUGUAGUCCAUGCUAAUGCAUUGCCAAGGACCAUUAGGCACCGGAAAAGGCAAGUACAAACCCUCAUUGGUAGUUGUCCCCUCACUCCUUUGACAAAAGAAUUGAAACAACAAAAUUGAGAAUCUUGAAAAAGAAGAGAAGUUGAAGGAAAGUACUCAAUAAUGUAGGAGACAAAAUAGGUCUAGGGUAUGGUGAAAAAAAGCAAGUUGUCAAACCACAAGUACAUAAUACCAUAGAAGAUACUUGUAGGAGGAAUACUCAACCUAAAAAAGUAAGACAACCUAAUCUCUCACAACCCAAGUUACAUCCACAUAGGUCCUUGUUUGUUCCUAUCUGUUUUAUUCUUUCAGAUGUUGUAUGAGAGGCCAUGUAGUUCAAGAGUGCACUAAGAGGAGGAAACACAAUAGUAGUACUGCAUAUUACAGAGAUGAGCUUAGAGUUCAGAGGCAGUGAAGUUGCUACAGUCCAAAAGUGAUAGGAAGAAUUCAUGAUUUAGUAGAACAAUAGAAUGUCCAAGGUCAGAAGUCAGUCCUUUCUACUUCAAUCCAUAAACUGGGGGAGGUGUACUCUUUGCCUAAGUUAUUAGGUAUGAUCUUAGCCGUUUAAGGAUCCUUGUGUAUCGUGUCUAUUCUUUUUGUCCCUAUGACCCGCUGCAAAUUGUUUUGCUGAAAAUUAUUUUGAAAAAUAUAAAAAAAUUUACUGAAAAUUAAUGUCAUUUAUUUUGAUAUUGCAAUGUGGCCUAACAAUUAGAUAGAUCUUAUAAUUUGCAAUAAUUUGUUUGUUAAAAGAGUGGCCCCGUGGUCAGGCCCACAUUUUCCAACUCUUGACGUGGUUCAACCUCUGCCUCCUCUACUCUCCUUUCCUUUCCCUCACUCUAUAUAUAGAUCACCUAUAUAAAUUAGAUUAGCCUAGAGUAGGUUUGCUAA
Molecule: non-coding RNA, 4190 nt
Organism: Camellia sinensis
Lineage: Eukaryota; Viridiplantae; Streptophyta; Magnoliopsida; Ericales; Theaceae
Source: RefSeq, a predicted model, not a curated record